This 283-nucleotide ribosomal RNA is filed under the name uncultured Methanolinea sp. Its description in RNAcentral is "partial 16S ribosomal RNA". It matches the Rfam family "Archaeal small subunit ribosomal RNA", at positions 1061 to 1338 of the family's 1478-position model. Lineage: Archaea; Methanobacteriati; Methanobacteriota; Methanomicrobia; Methanomicrobiales; Methanoregulaceae. The record is from RNAcentral.
CAGUUGCCAGCAUGUCCUCCGGGGAUGAUGGGGACGACUGUUGGGACCGCCUCUGCUAAAGAGGAGGAAGGGAAUGGGCAACGGUAGGUCAGCAUGCCCCGAACUUAUCCGGGCUACACGCGGGCUACAAUGGUCAGGACAAUGGGUAGUCGACACCGAGAGGUGGAGGCAAUCUCCUAAACCUGUCCUUAGUUCGGAUUGUGGGCUGCAACUCGCCCACAUGAAGCUGGAAUCCGUAGUAAUCGCGUUUCAAAAUAGCGCGGUGAAUAUGUCCCUGCUCCUU